This 517-nucleotide ribosomal RNA is filed under the name uncultured bacterium. RNAcentral's name for it is "bacterial SSU rRNA". It matches the Rfam family "Bacterial small subunit ribosomal RNA", at positions 501 to 1016 of the family's 1533-position model. The record is from RNAcentral.
CUACGUGCCAGCAGCCGCGGUAAUACGUAGGUCCCGAGCGUUAUCCGGAUUUAUUGGGCGUAAAGCGAGCGCAGGCGGUUAGAUAAGUCUGAAGUUAAAGGCUGUGGCUUAACCAUAGUACGCUUUGGAAACUGUUUAACUUGAGUGCAGAAGGGGAGAGUGGAAUUCCAUGUGUAGCGGUGAAAUGCGUAGAUAUAUGGAGGAACACCGGUGGCGAAAGCGGCUCUCUGGUCUGUAACUGACGCUGAGGCUCGAAAGCGUGGGGAGCAAACAUGAUUAGAUACCCUGGUAGUCCACGCCGUAAACGAUGAGUGCUAGGUGUUGGGUCCUUUCCGGGACUCAGUGCCGCAGCUAACGCAUUAAGCACUCCGCCUGGGGAGUACGACCGCAAGGUUGAAACUCAAAGGAAUUGACGGGGGCCCGCACAAGCGGUGGAGCAUGUGGUUUAAUUCGAAGCAACGCGAAGAACCUUACCAGGUCUUGACAUCCCUCUGACCGCUCUAGAGAUAGAGCUUUC